CGCGAGUAUUCAGAGUUUGAUCCUGGCUCAGAUUGAACGCUGGCGGCAUGCUUUACACAUGCAAGUCGAACGGUAACAGGGUGCUUGCACCGCUGACGAGUGGCGAACGGGUGAGUAAUGCAUCGGAACGUACCCAGUCGUGGGGGAUAACGUAGCGAAAGUUACGCUAAUACCGCAUACGUCCUGAGGGAGAAAGCGGGGGACCGUAAGGCCUCGCGCGAUUGGAGCGGCCGAUGUCGGAUUAGCUAGUUGGUAGGGUAAAGGCCUACCAAGGCGACGAUCCGUAGCGGGUCUGAGAGGAUGAUCCGCCACACUGGGACUGAGACACGGCCCAG
This 335-nucleotide ribosomal RNA is filed under the name uncultured bacterium. Its description in RNAcentral is "bacterial SSU rRNA". It matches the Rfam family "Bacterial small subunit ribosomal RNA", at positions 1 to 334 of the family's 1533-position model. The record is from RNAcentral.